UCACAUUAUAUAAAGCCGGCAAGCAACUUGCUAAUUUUCAAACCAAUUUCAAACGUUGUAGCAUUUCUGAAGCUGCUAGCAAAAAGGUGAACCCUAUCGCAAUUGUAGGUGUUAUUAAAAAACAAAGCAAAAUGCCGUAUGAACCAUCGUCCACAAAAGAAACAAGCAAACCGAGUGGAUGCAGCACUUGUUCUUCUGGAUGCAAAUGCCAGCCUGGAUGUAAAUGCCAAUGUUGCAGCGGUUCUAAAUAAAUCAUGUAUUUUUUUUAAAGUAAUCAUUUAAUAAAUAAAUAAAUCGUAAACUGUUA
Molecule: long non-coding RNA, 307 nt
Organism: Agrilus planipennis (emerald ash borer)
Lineage: Eukaryota; Metazoa; Arthropoda; Insecta; Coleoptera; Buprestidae
Exons: 2
Source: RefSeq, a predicted model, not a curated record